GACGAACGCUGGCGGCGUGCCUAAUACAUGCAAGUAGAACGCACAGUUUAUACCGUAGCUUGCUACACCAUAGACUGAGAGCUGCGAACGGGUGAGUAACGCGUAGGUAACCUGCCUGGUAGCGGGGGAUAACUAUUGGAAACGAUAGCUAAUACCGCAUAAUAUUGAUUAUUGCAUGAUAAUUGAUUGAAAGAUGCUAUUGCAUCACUACCAGAUGGACCUGCGUUGUAUUAGCUAGUAGGUGAGGUAACGGCUCACCUAGGCGACGAUACAUAGCCGACCUGAGAGGGUGAUCGGCCACACUGGGACUGAGACACGGCCCAGACUCCUACGGGAGGCAGCAGUAGGGAAUCUUCGGCAAUGGACGAAAGUCUGACCGAGCAACGCCGCGUGAGUGAAGAAGGGUUUCGGAUCGUAAAGCUCUGUUGUAAGAGAAGAACGGGUGUGAGAGUGGAAAGUUCACACUGUGACGGUAUCUUACCAGAAAGGGACGGCUAACUACGUG
This 505-nucleotide ribosomal RNA is filed under the name uncultured bacterium. RNAcentral's name for it is "partial 16S ribosomal RNA". It matches the Rfam family "Bacterial small subunit ribosomal RNA", at positions 28 to 507 of the family's 1533-position model. The record is from RNAcentral.